ACGGGUGAGUAAUGUCUGGGGAUCUGCCCGAUAGAGGGGGAUAACCACUGGAAACGGUGGCUAAUACCGCAUAACGUCGCAAGACCAAAGAGGGGGACCUUAGGGCCUCUCACUAUCGGAUGAACCCAGAUGGGAUUAGCUAGUAGGCGGGGUAACGGCCCACCUAGGCGACGAUCCCUAGCUGGUCUGAGAGGAUGACCAGCCACACUGGAACUGAGACACGGUCCAGACUCCUACGGGAGGCAGCAGUGGGGAAUAUUGCACAAUGGGCGCAAGCCUGAUGCAGCCAUGCCGCGUGUAUGAAGAAGGCCUUCGGGUUGUAAAGUACUUUCAGCGGGGAGGAAGGCAUUGUGGUUAAUAACCGCAGUGAUUGACGUUACCCGCAGAAGAAGCACCGGCUAACUCCGUGCCAGCAGCCGCGGUAAUACGGAGGGUGCAAGCGUUAAUCGGAAUUACUGGGCGUAAAGCGCACGCAGGCGGUCUGUUAAGUCAGAUGUGAAAUCCCCGGGCUUAACCUGGGAACUGCAUUUGAAACUGGCAGGCUUGAGUCUCGUAGAGGGGGGUAGAAUUCCAGGUGUAG
RNAcentral lists this ribosomal RNA (580 nucleotides) under uncultured Pantoea sp. Its description in RNAcentral is "bacterial SSU rRNA". It matches the Rfam family "Bacterial small subunit ribosomal RNA", at positions 102 to 678 of the family's 1533-position model. The record is from RNAcentral. Lineage: Bacteria; Pseudomonadati; Pseudomonadota; Gammaproteobacteria; Enterobacterales; Erwiniaceae.